This 2097-nucleotide long non-coding RNA is filed under the name Carassius auratus (goldfish). RNAcentral's name for it is "lncRNA (ENSCARG00000015961.1)". The record is from RNAcentral. Lineage: Eukaryota; Metazoa; Chordata; Actinopteri; Cypriniformes; Cyprinidae.
GUGCACUCGUUCUUUCCAACGGUUUCUUUAUCAUGCGAUCGCGCGCGUACGUGGUUUUCGUUCGACGCUUUGCUCGCGCACUUGAUUUCCUCACAAAACGUCUAGAUGUGGAUUAUUUUCUUCCAUGCGUUGUGUUUGUGUCAAACAUCGGUUCCCAUCGUCAACUGUGAAAUCUUAUUUCACGUAUUAUUUGACCCAUUGUUAUUUUACACGGAAAUGGCUGAAAUCUACUCCAGUUUCUCAACGUAUUCCGCUUAUCACAGUUUUGUCACGCAGACAGUCCCUCUGUGAGAAUGUGCCCCUGGUGGAAUUUCACUGAGAUGGAGGGGGAUUCCUCGCGGUCAUUUUUUACUUUGUUAAAAGUCUUUUGUCAUUCAAGACCCCAUCAUGUUGGGAGCCAGCUGUUUCAGUGAAGUAGGGGCCCUUUCAAAUGUAAGUUAUUCAUUAUUAAUGAGAAAAGGCUUGUCUUCAAAUAAAAUGAGGGGAACUUGUUUUGAAAAUAUGUAAAUAUUUUUGAUGUGCUGAGAAACUUUGUAGACUAAUUAUCUAUCUACCUAACUGUCUGUCAAUGCACAUUCUUCUUUGAAAAGAGAUAAUGACUAUGUUCUGUGUAAAAAAAAAAAAAACAUUGUUAUUAUGGUUACUGUUGUCACCUUAUGUAGGCCUAUACUUAAGUGUGUACUAUUAUUUAAAAGGGAAAUGAGCACAAAAAUGCCUAUUUAUGCUUUCAGUCCUGAUUUCCUGCAUAUGUUGUGAUCUUGGACCAGUUAUACAUUGAUAGCCCUGAUAUAGACCACCAUAAUAUAGUGCAAACUGAUCUGAAUGAGCCAUAUGAACCUAUUUGACCUGUAACCCUGAUUCAUUUCGGCUGGCAUCGUACCAUGUGAUGUGGUCUUUGUUUUUAUACGAGGGGGACAUUGCAUCUUUUUCAAAGUCUGCUUUGAGCUCAGCUGUUUUGGGUUCCUUAGGGAUGGGGCCAGAUGCCGCUUUAAGCCCGUUUUAAUUUGGAUAAUUUGAUGCUGGUCUCUGUGAGACUGACGGAUGCGCUGUCAUAAGGGGUGGAGGGAGGCUGCACCAUUGUGACAGUGGCCAUUUAUCUGUCUCUCUGAACAGACAGACUAGUCACUACCGGAGUCUGGUUAUCUUAGGACAGCUGGUGAUGCUGUUUCUCUGAGCUUUCAUUUGAUUUUUUACAAUUUUCAUCUUGGUCUUUUGGUAUGUUUCAGGGCAGAGAGGACAGGAAAUGAUGUGAAGGAUUGGAAAUGUUAUGAACCAGGCUCGAAACUGGAAUCACUGCAUAAGCACCAGGGCACCAGUCUUAUUAAAGUUUUGAAUUUUGAAAAAAUUGAAUUAAUAAAGUAAAUUAAAAACCAUUUAUUAUAUAUUUUAACUUCAUUUUAUUUAUUACUAAUUUGUCUUUUCAGUGUAAUUUGUAGUUUUACAUUUAUUUAUCUAUCUAUCUAUACACCCACACACACACACACACACACACACACACACACACACACACACACACACACACAGUGGUGGCCAAAAUUAUAAGAACUUUCACUUUAAAAUAUUUCUUCAACCUAGUGAAACAUAUGACUGGUCUGCACAAGCUACUUGAGAACAAUAAUAAACAUUCUCUAAUUUUCAACUGAAUUUAUUUCUACUCAUUUAAAAUAAUUCAGGUUUAAUAUAUAUAUAUAUAUAUAUAUAUAUAUAUAUAUAUAUAUAUAUAUAUAUAUAUAUAUAUAUAUAUAUUUAUUUAUUUAUUUAUUUAUUAUUUUUUGUUAAACUGUGUAUAAUAAUUAUUUCUUAUUUUAUAUUAAUAAUAGAACAAAAGUCAAGGCCUGGUCAGGUAAAUAAUGUUUCUGCGGGCUUUUUUUCAUGUCCCCGAAUAGGCCUAAUGAAGCGACACCAAUAAUUUGCGAUUUUUAAUGGGGAGCUUCCCAACCUAUACCCACCACCAAAAACCUGAUUUUGGGCUAGGUUUGAGCAGCAAUUGGGCGGGUUUUGUUCUGUAAACCUGGCAACCCUGUGGCCUGUGCAAUCACUCUUUCCAAUGGUUUCUUUAUCUUGUGAUCCGCGUAUACGUGGUUUUCGCACUUGAUU